CGUAGGAGGCAAACGUUAUCCGGAUUUACUGGGCGUAAAGCGCGUGUAGGUGGUACUGUAAGUAGGGCGUGAAAGCUCCUGGCUCAACUGGGAGAGGCCGUUCUAAACUACAGAACUAGAGGAUGGUAGAGGGAGGUGGAAUUCCAGGUGUAGCGGUGGAAUGCGCAGAUAUCUGGAGGAACACCGGUGGCGAAGGCGGCCUCCUGGACCAUUCCUGACACUCAGACGCGAAAGCUAGGGUAGCAAACGGGAUUAGAGACCCCGGUAGUCCUAGCCCUAAACGAUGUAGACUAGGCGUCGGAAGCUUAAUCGCCUUCGGUGUCCAAGCUAACGCGAUAAGUCUACCGCCUGGGGACUACGGCCGCAAGGUUAAAACUCAAAGGAAUUGACGGGUCCCCGCACAAGCAGCGGAGCGUGUGGUUUAAUUCGUUGCUACACGAAGAACCUUACCUGGGUUUGACAUAGCAGUGGUAGGGAAGCGAAAGCGGACCGACCCUUCGGGGAGCUGUUACAGGUGUCGCAUGGCUGUCGUCAGCUCGUGUCGUGAGAUGUUCGGUUAAGUCCGCUAACGAGCGCAACCCGCGUUGUGUGUUACAAGUGUCACACAAUACCGCCGGUAUUAAGUCGGAGGAAGGUGCGGAUGACGUCAAGUCAGCAUGACCUUUAUAUCCAGGGCUACACACGCUACAAUGGUCAGCACAAUAGGUUGCCAAGUCGUGAGACGGAGCCAAUCCUCCAAAGCUGCCUCAGUUCAGAUUGCAGGCUGCAACUCGCCUGCAUGAAGUUGGAGUUGCUAGUAACCGCAGGUCAGCUAUACUGCGGUGAAUACGUUCCCGGGGAUU
RNAcentral lists this ribosomal RNA (842 nucleotides) under uncultured Chloroflexota bacterium. RNAcentral's name for it is "bacterial SSU rRNA". It matches the Rfam family "Bacterial small subunit ribosomal RNA", at positions 526 to 1382 of the family's 1533-position model. The record is from RNAcentral. Lineage: Bacteria; Bacillati; Chloroflexota.